GGCCCCGUAGCUCAGCGGUUAGAGCUCGCCACUCAUAAUGGCUCGGUCCCCGGUUCGAAUCCGGGCGGGGCUA
Molecule: transfer RNA, 73 nt
Filed under: bacterium
Lineage: Bacteria
Description: tRNA-Met
Rfam family: tRNA
About the family: Transfer RNA (tRNA) molecules are approximately 80 nucleotides in length.
Source: RNAcentral